UUCAUACAAUUUUUUGUAUGAAGUUGGAACGUUUGCUUACGUUUGCCGCUAGGGGCGCUGUUCCAACUGCAUACAAAAUUGAGUUA
This 86-nucleotide microRNA precursor is filed under the name Bombyx mori (domestic silkworm). RNAcentral's name for it is "mir-2807 microRNA precursor family". It matches the Rfam family "mir-2807 microRNA precursor family". Lineage: Eukaryota; Metazoa; Arthropoda; Insecta; Lepidoptera; Bombycidae. The record is from Rfam by way of RNAcentral.